RNAcentral lists this non-coding RNA (22 nucleotides) under Arabidopsis thaliana (thale cress). The record is from RNAcentral. Lineage: Eukaryota; Viridiplantae; Streptophyta; Magnoliopsida; Brassicales; Brassicaceae.
UGCGAACGUACAUUGAUGCUCA